CCAAAAAUAAAAUAUAAGCCAAAGACAGUAGGCAUUUAUAAGUCCUACCGAGGUAUAUAAGUUUGAAUAUAAAGCAAUCUUUAUGCCUCGAAAUUGGUGUAAAGAUUUUUAUUAUAUAUU
Clostridium sp. CAG:356 is the source of this 120-nucleotide non-coding RNA. NCBI's taxonomy places the organism in Bacteria, Bacillati, Bacillota, Clostridia, Eubacteriales, Clostridiaceae. The record is from Rfam.